GCUUGGGUGGCUCAGUCGGUUGAGCUUCUGACUUCAGCUUAGGUCAUGAUCUCACUUUCGUGGGUUCAAGCCCCACGUCAGGCU
RNAcentral lists this transfer RNA (84 nucleotides) under Felis catus (domestic cat). It matches the Rfam family "tRNA". From Rfam's summary of the family: Transfer RNA (tRNA) molecules are approximately 80 nucleotides in length. Their secondary structure includes four short double-helical elements and three loops (D, anti-codon, and T loops). RNAcentral also lists the same sequence under 1 other name. The record is from Rfam by way of RNAcentral. Lineage: Eukaryota; Metazoa; Chordata; Mammalia; Carnivora; Felidae.